Molecule: ribosomal RNA, 504 nt
Filed under: uncultured bacterium
Lineage: Bacteria
Description: partial 16S ribosomal RNA
Rfam family: Bacterial small subunit ribosomal RNA
Source: RNAcentral
AUUAAACACUGGCGGCAGGCCUAACACAUGCAAGUCGAACGGUAGCACAGAGAGCUUGCUCUCGGGUGACGAGUGGCGGACGGGUGAGUAACGUCUGGGAAACUGCCCGAUGGAGGGGGAUAACUACUGGAAACGGUUGCUAAUACCGCAUAACGUCGCAUGACCAACGUGGGGGACCUUCGGGCCUCACACCAUCCGAUGUGCCCAGAUGGGAUUAGCUAGUAGGUGGGGUAAUGGCUCCCCUAGGCGACUAUCCCUAGCUGGUCUGAGAGGAUGACCAGCCACACUGGAACUGAGACACGGUCCAGACUCCUACGGGAGGCAGCAGUGGGGAAUAUUGCACAAUGGGCGCAAGCCUGAUGCAGCCAUGCCGCGUGUAUGAAGAAGGCCUUCGGGUUGUAAAGUACUUUCAGCGGGGAGGAAGGCGGUGAGGUUAAUAACCUCGCCGAUUGACGUUACCCGCAGAAGAAGCACCGGCUAACUCCGUGCCAGCCGCCGCAGUAA